GAGGGUAUAGCUCAAGUGGUAGAGCGCAUGCUUAGCAUGCACAAGGUCCUGGGCUCAAUCCCCAGUACCUUCU
Molecule: transfer RNA, 73 nt
Filed under: Camelus bactrianus (Bactrian camel)
Lineage: Eukaryota; Metazoa; Chordata; Mammalia; Artiodactyla; Camelidae
Also listed under: 2 other names
Rfam family: tRNA
About the family: Transfer RNA (tRNA) molecules are approximately 80 nucleotides in length. Their secondary structure includes four short double-helical elements and three loops (D, anti-codon, and T loops).
Source: Rfam by way of RNAcentral